AAACCCAGCCCCGUAACAGCUGCUAUGAAGAAAAUUAACUCUCCUCCAGCCGAACCCAGCACACCCAGAGAAUGAACUGCCUGUAGACCUUGCUUGCUUUUCAACCUCAGCCUUGUAAGGUCAGGUGCUGCUGUGCUCCUUGAGCAUCCAGAUAUCCGGGAAAGUUUGUCAGCCUGCUUUAAAGACCCCUGCUGGAGAUUCUGCUGUGGACAAGUUGGAAAGAACAGCUCAUGCAUUAAGAGUAUGCUUUCGAGAUACUAUGUUUGAAGUCCUUCAGCCUCACCCCAGUGGCAAUUGUUAAAUGUAGCCCCGAGUUCAAUGGCUUUUGAAUCCUCAGUGAAGAAAAAGAUGAGAGAAAUCCACCAUCAUCUGUGAUCAGCUGUGAGAGUGGAGCCAAGGGAGUUUUAACUCUUGAAAUCAAGGAAGAAUGUGUGAGGGUGCCUGAAGAGCUGUGUUCCUUAUUUGAGUCCCAAUGCACAUGAAUUCUCCCCCUUUUACCUCUUCUGUGU
Pipra filicauda (Wire-tailed manakin) is the source of this 509-nucleotide long non-coding RNA. RefSeq lists it as uncharacterized. NCBI's taxonomy places the organism in Eukaryota, Metazoa, Chordata, Aves, Passeriformes, Pipridae. The transcript has 4 exons. The record is from RefSeq and is a predicted model, not a curated record.